RNAcentral lists this ribosomal RNA (365 nucleotides) under uncultured Anoxybacillus sp. RNAcentral describes it as "bacterial SSU rRNA". It matches the Rfam family "Bacterial small subunit ribosomal RNA", at positions 1016 to 1382 of the family's 1533-position model. The record is from RNAcentral. Lineage: Bacteria; Bacillati; Bacillota; Bacilli; Caryophanales; Anoxybacillaceae.
UUCGGGGGGACGAGGGUGACAGGUGGUGCAUGGUUGUCGUCAGCUCGUGUCGUGAGAUGUUGGGUUAAGUCCCGCAACGAGCGCAACCCUCGACCUUAGUUGCCAGCAUUCAGUUGGGCACUCUAAGGUGACUGCCGGCUAAAAGUCGGAGGAAGGUGGGGAUGACGUCAAAUCAUCAUGCCCCUUAUGACCUGGGCUACACACGUGCUACAAUGGGCGGUACAAAGGGUCGCGAACCCGCGAGGGGGAGCCAAUCCCAAAAAGCCGCUCUCAGUUCGGAUUGCAGGCUGCAACUCGCCUGCAUGAAGCCGGAAUCGCUAGUAAUCGCGGAUCAGCAUGCCGCGGUGAAUACGUUCCCGGGCCUU